CUACGGGUUGCUCCAGUGGGGAAUAUUGGGCAAUGGGCGAAAGCCUGACCCAGCAACGCCGCGUGAAGGAAGAAGGCUUUCGGGUCGUAAACUUCUAUCCUAGGUGAAGAUAAUGACGGUAGCCUAGAAGGAAGCCCCGGCUAACUACGUGCCAGCAGCCGCGGUAAUACGUAGGGGGCAAGCGUUGUCCGGAAUGAUUGGGCGUAAAGGGCGCGUAGGCGGCCAUGUAAGUCCGAUGUGAAAGUCCUGCUUUUAAGGUGGGAAUUGCAUUGGAAACUGCGUGGCUUGAGUGCAGGAGAGGUAAGCGGAAUUCCCGGUGUAGCGGUGAAAUGCGUAGAGAUCGGGAGGAACACCAGUGGCGAAGGCGGCUUACUGGACUGUAACUGACGCUGAGGCGCGAAAGUGUGGGGAGCAAACAGGAUUAGAUACCCCAGUAGUC
Molecule: ribosomal RNA, 439 nt
Filed under: uncultured bacterium
Lineage: Bacteria
Description: partial 16S ribosomal RNA
Rfam family: Bacterial small subunit ribosomal RNA
Source: RNAcentral